Molecule: ribosomal RNA, 478 nt
Filed under: uncultured organism
Description: partial 16S ribosomal RNA
Rfam family: Bacterial small subunit ribosomal RNA
Source: RNAcentral
ACGUACACUCCUACGGGAGGCAGCAGUGGGGAAUUUUGGACAAUGGGCGAAAGCCUGAUCCAGCCAUGCCGCGUGCAGGAUGAAGGCCUUCGGGUUGUAAACUGCUUUUGUACGGAACGAAACGGCCUUUUCUAAUAAAGAGGGCUAAUGACGGUACCGUAAGAAUAAGCACCGGCUAACUACGUGCCAGCAGCCGCGGUAAUACGUAGGGUGCAAGCGUUAAUCGGAAUUACUGGGCGUAAAGCGUGCGCAGGCGGUUAUGUAAGACAGUUGUGAAAUCCCCGGGCUCAACCUGGGAACUGCAUCUGUGACUGCAUAGCUAGAGUACGGUAGAGGGGGAUGGAAUUCCGCGUGUAGCAGUGAAAUGCGUAGAUAUGCGGAGGAACACCGAUGGCGAAGGCAAUCCCCUGGACCUGUACUGACGCUCAUGCACGAAAGCGUGGGGAGCAAACAGGAUUAGAAACCCUGGUAGUCCCAU